This 209-nucleotide ribosomal RNA is filed under the name uncultured bacterium. RNAcentral describes it as "partial 16S ribosomal RNA". It matches the Rfam family "Bacterial small subunit ribosomal RNA", at positions 524 to 731 of the family's 1533-position model. The record is from RNAcentral.
UACGUAGGGUGCGAGCGUUAAUCGGAAUUACUGGGCGUAAAGCGUGCGCAGGCGGUUUGUUAAGACAGAUGUGAAAUCCCCGGGCUUAACCUGGGAACUGCAUUUGUGACUGGCAAGCUAGAGUACUGGCAGAGGGGGGUAGAAUUCCACGUGUAGCAGUGAAAUGCGUAGAGAUGUGGAGGAAUACCGAUGGCGAAGGCAGCCCCCUG